RNAcentral lists this non-coding RNA (25 nucleotides) under Mus musculus (house mouse). Lineage: Eukaryota; Metazoa; Chordata; Mammalia; Rodentia; Muridae. The record is from RNAcentral.
UGGGAUAGAAGACCCUGUAGCUAUA